Molecule: ribosomal RNA, 433 nt
Filed under: uncultured bacterium
Lineage: Bacteria
Description: partial 16S ribosomal RNA
Rfam family: Bacterial small subunit ribosomal RNA
Source: RNAcentral
AACGAACGCCGGCGGCAGGCUUAACACAUGCAAGUCGAGCGAGACCUUCGGGUCUAGCGGCGGACGGGUGAGUAACGCGUGGGAACGUGCCCUUCUCUACGGAAUAGCCCCGGGAAACUGGGAGUAAUACCGUAUACGCCCUUUGGGGGAAAGAUUUAUCGGAGAAGGAUCGGCCCGCGUUGGAUUAGGUAGUUGGUGGGGUAAUGGCCCACCAAGCCGACGAUCCAUAGCUGGUUUGAGAGGAUGAUCAGCCACACUGGGACUGAGACACGGCCCAGACUCCUACGGGAGGCAGCAGUGGGGAAUCUUAGACAAUGGGGGCAACCCUGAUCUAGCCAUGCCGCGUGAGUGAUGAAGGCCUUAGGGUUGUAAAGCUCUUUCAGCUGGGAAGAUAAUGACGGUACCAGCAGAAGAAGCCCCGGCUAACUCCGUG